RNAcentral lists this ribosomal RNA (441 nucleotides) under uncultured bacterium. RNAcentral describes it as "partial 16S ribosomal RNA". It matches the Rfam family "Bacterial small subunit ribosomal RNA", at positions 338 to 795 of the family's 1533-position model. The record is from RNAcentral.
CCUACGGGAGACAGCAGUGGGGGAUAUUGCACAAUGGGGGGAACCCUGAUGCAGCGACGCCGCGUGGAUGAAGGAGCGUUUCGGCGCGUAAAGCCCUAUCGGCAGGGAAGAAGGAGGACGGUACCUGGCUAAGAAGCCCCGGCUAACUACGUGCCAGCAGCCGCGGUAAUACGUAGGGGGCAAGCGUUAUCCGGAUUUACUGGGGUGAACGGGUGCGCAGACGGCAGUGCAAGCCAGGAGUGAAAGCCCGGGGCCCAACCCCGGGACUGCGUUUGGAACUGAGCGGCUGGAGUGCAGUAGGGGUAGGCGGAAUGCCUGGUGUAGCGGUGAAAUGCGUAGAUAUCAGGAGGAACACCGGUGGCGAAGGCGGCCUGCUGGACUGCGACUGACGUUGAGGCCCGAAAGCGUGGGGAGCAAACAGGAUUAGAUACCCUGGUAGUC